This 1312-nucleotide ribosomal RNA is filed under the name Systropus sp. 2 YXA-2022a. RNAcentral describes it as "16S ribosomal RNA". Lineage: Eukaryota; Metazoa; Arthropoda; Insecta; Diptera; Bombyliidae. The record is from RNAcentral.
UUAAUAAAAUUUUAUUAAUAAAAUUAUUUAUUAUAGGCAUUAAAUAAAAUAAUUGAGUAAUUAGUUUUAGUAUGUUAUGGAAUAAUAUUUUUAUAAUAGUUUAAAUUUACUGUGAAGGAAUAAUGAAAUAUUAUAUUAAAUAUUGUUUAAGAAAUUUUAUUUUAAUGUACCUUUUGUAUCAGGGUUUAUUAAUUUAUAAUUAUUUAUUUAUUAUUCUCGAUUUUGUAAGAGUUAAUAAAUUAUUUUAGUUUUAGUAAUAUAUAAAUUAAUAAUAUUUAUUGGAAUCUAUAAGUUAUUUCGUUUACAAUGGUAUCUAGUUAUUCAAGAAUUAAAUUUAAUUUAUAGUUUUUAAAAGUUAUUAUUUUUAUAAUAAAAAUAAUAACCUUUAAAAAUUUCUAUUUUACGGGAUGAGCUGUAAAAUAAUUUUUUAAUAUAAUAUAUUUAAAAAUUUAGUAAGCUUAGAAUUAGUUAUCUUUUAUGAAUAUGUUAUAAUUUAAUUUAAUUUAUAAUAAAUUUAUUAAUAUUAAAAUUUUUUAUUGAAUUAUUUUAUUUAAUAAUUUAAUUUAAGUAAUAAUGAUAAAAUUAGUAUAUAUAUAUAUAUAUAUAUAUCUAUAUAUAAUAAGUUAAUUUAAUUAUAUGAAUUCGGCAAUAAUAAUCUUUGCCUGUUUAUCAAAAACAUGUCCUUUUUUUAUAUUUUAAGGUUUAACCUGCCCACUGAUAAAUUUAAGGGCCGCAGUAUAUUAACUGUGCAAAGGUAGCGUAAUCAUUUGUCUUUUUAUUGGAGGCUUGUAUGAAAGGUUGGACAAGGGAUUAACUUUAUUUAAUUAAAUAUUUAAAAUUUUAUUUUUUAGUGAAAAAGCUAAAAUUUAUUUAUUAGACGAGAAGACCCUAUGAAUCUUUAUAUUUUAAAGUUUAUUUUUAUAAUGAAAAUUUUAAAGUUAAGCAUUUAUUAUAUUUUAUUGGGGUGAUAUAAAAAUUUACAUAACUUUUUAUAAAUUUACAAUAAUAUUUGGAAAAUUUUUGAUCCUAUAAUUUGGAUAAUAAGAAUAAGUUACUCUAGGGAUAACAGCGUAAUUAUUUUGGAGAGUUCUUAUCGAUAAAAUAGAUUGCGACCUCGAUGUUGGAUUAAGAUAAAAAAUAGGUGCAGAAAUCUAUUAUAUUAAGUCUGUUCGACUUUUAAUUUCUUACAUGAUCUGAGUUCAGACCGGCGUAAGCCAGGUUGGUUUCUAUCUUUAAUUUGUAUAGAAUAAUUUAGUACGAAAGGACCAAUUAUUUAAUUUAUUAAUUUUAAAAUUAGAAUGAUAAUAAUAAU